GACGAACGCUGGCGGCGUGCUUAACACAUGCCAGUCGAACGGAAAGGCCCUGCUUUUGUGGGGUGCUCGAGUGGCGAACGGGUGAGUAACACGUGAGUAACCUGCCCUUGACUUUGGGAUAACUUCAGGAAACUGGGGCUAAUACCGGAUAGGAGCUCCUGCUGCAUGGUGGGGGUUGGAAAGUUUCGGCGGUUGGGGAUGGACUCGCGGCUUAUCAGCUUGUUGGUGGGGUAGUGGCUUACCAAGGCUUUGACGGGUAGCCGGCCUGAGAGGGUGACCGGCCACAUUGGGACUGAGAUACGGCCCAGACUCCUACGGGAGGCAGCAGUGGGGAAUAUUGCACAAUGGGCGGAAGCCUGAUGCAGCAACGCCGCGUGCGGGAUGACGGUCUUCGGGUUGUAAACCGCUUUCGCCUGUGACGAAGCGUGAGUGACGGUAAUGGGUAAAGAAGCACCGGCUAACUACGUG
RNAcentral lists this ribosomal RNA (468 nucleotides) under uncultured bacterium. RNAcentral describes it as "partial 16S ribosomal RNA". It matches the Rfam family "Bacterial small subunit ribosomal RNA", at positions 28 to 507 of the family's 1533-position model. The record is from RNAcentral.